This is a long non-coding RNA of Homo sapiens (human), 3398 nucleotides long. The record is from Ensembl. Lineage: Eukaryota; Metazoa; Chordata; Mammalia; Primates; Hominidae.
ACAUUCAAGUUUGACAGCAGUACAAUCAGUUUUCCAUUCAUCACUGGCCCUGUUUUAACCCUGCUGAAAAAGGGCCUAAUGUACGUGGCAGUGAUGGCAAUUAGGCAGAAAAGUAAUAUUAGAAACAGACAAAAGCCUGAGUCUUUUAGCAUUACAGGUGUUUUUUUUUUUUUUUAGCCCGUUCUAGACAUAAAGGAAUAGGCAGUGUUGUUAAGUUCCCUUCUUCAGUCUUCUCUUAAGCUGAAAGUCCAACGAUUUCAAGAUUCAAUUAAUUAGAGACAUGGAGAGCCAAAGUACAAGAUACCUGUACGGAGAACUUGGGAGGCAUUUUUAUAAGCUCAUUGUCAAGUGAAUGUUAAAGUCCCCAUUCACUGAGAAGCAAAGGGUGAAGAAGUGAGACCCUACAUGGCUUUUUAGUGCAUUGAUGGAGCAGAGACACGUCUAUGAACAACUGCCUAUGCAAACUGAUUACUCGGCAGUAUAAUUUAUCAGUUUGUAUGAGUAAGUGAGUGCUUCUCACUAUGGAUUUAGCUUGCACUUCAAUUUAGAACUAGAAGGAAUAAGUGGAAAUCAGGAGAAAUAUUAAAGACAUUCCAGUGUCACUGAGCAUGCCGAAACCUGAAAACAUGUAUUAAAAUAAACCGGUCCUUCUCAUUAACGAUGAAGUGCACCUGCUGAAGAGUCUCAGAACUAUCAGGAACACAAACAGGUGUGCACAAAAUGUAUGGCCUUUAAAAGAUACAUUUUAUGUAAAUGUGCAUCUCUUGCUCCAUGUGUCUUUAACACAGAUAAAACCCACAGGUCCUAUAUUUAACUCAGCUACAGAGUUGUUGGGUGUUCUCACAUAUAUCAGCUCCUCAAAGCUGAGGAUUAUUAUGCAAUCAUUAAAAAUAUAGUAUAUAAAACGAGGUGGAAUUGCUUCUUUUGGCAAGCAGAAUCAUUGGUAUACAUUUAAUAAUGCAUCUAUUUUAACAAUCUGUUAUUAAAACUUUGAUACUAGUCCUUUAACUAAUUUUGUCUUACAUCAAAUUUACCAUACAAGAUAAACUAUACCUGUAAUAUGUUUUUCAAAAUCACAUUUAAUUGUAAGAUCCCAAUCAACAAGUUGUUUAUCAUUACUAUGGACAUACGCACAUUCAGGAUUUUUCUGUGCUCUUGUUCUGCUUGUCUAUGAAUUACUGGAAAGUAACUAUUUUUAAAAAUGACAGAAGGAAGGAAAGAAAGAGAAAAGAAAUCUCACAAUUUUCCAAAAAAUGAAGUUGAAAGAACUCUCUGGAGACUUCAUUAUAAAUGGUUUUAGCACAAUUAUGCUAAAUGGAAUCGAUAUGUUUACAUUGUUUUAUUCAAGGUUUAUCACGUUCUAUUAUGAAACAAUGAAAUGCAAUUAAUAAAUCAUCAGUUCAUUUUUCUUGUUUUAUUUGAAAAUGCUUUGGCAUAUUUUAGCAUAUCAUUUUUAGAGUAGCAAAUAACUCUAAUGUAUAACAUUAAUAAACGGUGAUAGACUUUACUAUAAAUAUUGCAUCUGUUGCCAAGAAAAGUUACAUACAAAAACAGAGCAUUGCAAACAGCAGUUCAGUAAUUUUUCUUUUGGUAGUAGAGACAUGGGCCUUCUGUAUCAUUUUAAGUAUCUUUGCACUACUUGACCCUCUGCACUUGGAGAAUAUUGUUUUUUUUAUGCAUGAACAGUUUGCUGGGUUUAAGGGACUAACACCAUAUAUGUGGUGUUGUGAGAGCCCAGAUAACCAAAUUGAGCAGUUUUUUCUCUCCUUGUGUUUUAUUUGAGGGAGAAGAGUUGAGGAUUGAGGAAAAGCUGUGACAAACUUUUCGUGUGUGCAGUCAUAGCCAGAUAUUUUCACAAACAACAACUUCAAAAAAUCAAGGCAAUAGAAUAAAAUAUUAAGAUAGAACAUGAAAUAUAAACCACCAGUCCAAUGGUUUCCAUGGACUAAGUUAUUUUGGAUUAAAAAUGCUCAUUGUUCUUUAUUUGAAAAUAAAUAUUUAAGUAAUAAAAUAUGUAAGAACUCAAAAUAUAUUGUUUUCUGGUAUUGCUUGAUAUACCAAAGCAGAUACUAAUUAUAUUUAAUUGGGAUUUUUAUGCAACUGUGUGACUGUACUCUGAAUUUCACAUAGUUUUAAAUUCUGAUUUGCAUAUUCUAUAUUAAUUCAAAGGAAGCUUGAGACAUCGUAAAGCACACAAAAUGCUGUAAAAUCAGAAAACAGAUCAACUACCAUUAUUUUUAAACUUCUUCCUUCUUUUAUAUCAAGCUUCAUGAGAAAUGUAGCAAAAGAUUGGAAUUUCUUUUUCUACGUAAGGGGAUAAAAUAUUUUAUAUGUAGUUUAACUUAAAUACAAAAACAGGACUUUUAUCUCUAAAUGCUAUUUCUAUUGACUUGAGAUAUUUAGGUUGACUUCUAAUACUACAUAUUCUUUCAUUUGUGCCUACCCAAUUCCUGAUACAACCAGACAAUAGGACACAGAAAAUAGAUGACAUGGAAUUGGUAACUGUAAAGGGGUGAAAUAGAUGAGGUCUCUGAACCUUGUAGAAUAAGAAGUUGCCCAUCUCAUAUGUUAUGAAAUUUUUGGAAGUCCUCCUGCACUCUCUACCUUCUAGUAAAACAUGUUCCCUUCAUACUGGCCUGCUUUCCCGAAGGCCUUAAAUUCCCAUUAGAGAAUCAUUUUUUUCAGAGCAGGACUUUUCUACCUCUCUUCAAAAUACAAAUACUAUUUUUUAAAAGAACGUAUUAGCUGAAUAGUAAUUAAAACUCAAUUUAUAUCUUCAAAUAUGAACAAGUCAGUAAGCUUCAGCUCAGCCAUAGAUAUGACUGGUAAGUCAACGGGAGGGGAAUUCUGUGCAAGGGUUCCUGCCCAAAGAGGAGUAGCCUCAGUGGAGUGCUGGGGCAGAGACAUCUUAAUAUGGAACAUGGACAAAGUAAGAAUAAGUUCCAAGAAAUUUUCAUUCACACUUACCAAUUCCAACCACAUCCAGUUUUUUAUUCUCCUUUGGUUGUAUGUUUUUUGCCCUCCAAUCUACUUCAAAAAAAGUAGAAAAUAAGAUUUAAAGCAAAUAUUUUCCUUUGAAAUAUUUUUGAUCAACCAUCUUAAAAUUGUUCCAUCUUUUCACUGGCAAACUUUGAUACUGAAUGAUCAGUGUUCAUUAUCUCCAUUUUACUGAUGUUCAUUAUCUUUUAACACUUUUGAUCAUUUUUCAGACUCCAUCACAUUCACUGAAACUUCUAUGUUGAAGAGUUUUUGUCACAAAAAAUGUUCUUUUUCUGACUUUACUUAUUCAUUUCUGUUUAUAAUUUAAAACUUUAAAAUUUAUUCUUGGGGUUCAUUUUCAGUAGGUUGAGUAAGUAAUACCCCUUAACUCGUGGCAUAUUGUCAUCAUUACCGAUACA